Molecule: transfer RNA, 67 nt
Filed under: Chaoborus sp. ZK-2019
Lineage: Eukaryota; Metazoa; Arthropoda; Insecta; Diptera; Chaoboridae
Description: tRNA-Cys
Source: RNAcentral
AGUCUUAUAUUCAUAUAAAUGAUAUUAAAUUGCAAAUUUAAAGGAGUAAUAAAAAUUAUUAAGGCUU